This 2239-nucleotide long non-coding RNA is filed under the name Heterocephalus glaber (naked mole-rat). RNAcentral describes it as "lncRNA (ENSHGLG00000037900.1)". Lineage: Eukaryota; Metazoa; Chordata; Mammalia; Rodentia; Bathyergidae. The record is from RNAcentral.
GGUGGUGCAGUUCUAGGGUCUUCCGGGUGGCCUUUCCCACCACUGUGGGAAUCUCCUGGCCCGUGGGUCAGGAGCCCAGUGUGGGAAUCUUUCAGGAAUGCAGAUGUCUUCCCCGGAAACUGCAUGUGUCUUGCCCCUAGGACUGGCCAGGUGAACAUCGAGGGCCACUGCCCCAACCUCCUGGACUCCACUGUGACUCCAGGAAGGAGCUGUCCUUCUGGCAGGGGAAGGACUCACUAGAAUUUUGGCUUCCUUACCUCAGUUUUAUCCACCAAAUUCCUUUUUCCAUUUGAAGCCUGUUUACAAGGUCCGGGGCCUAUCUCUUGGGCACCAUGUACUCCGCACUUGGGGCCUUCAUGCCACUGUGGUUCUCACAUGGCUGUCCCCCAGCACAGAAGGCUGGCACUGGGUUAUGGAUAUGUGCCCUGUCAAGGGGACAGGUUGGAGGUAGCACCAGCUCCCUGUCCAUGGUCACAAAGCUGGUCAGUGAAGAACUGGCUUGGCCUGGCUGUCUCAGGCCACUGGACAGAGACCAGGCACAGUGUCCUGUCCCAGGGCUCCAGGGGAAGGUGGGGGCACCUUGGGGAGGGAAGCUGGGUGCUUGCACAGGCACAGACACACCCACCCCCUGUGCCAUGCACCUGUGCACACAGGCAUCCAGCACAGAGAAGGUGCCUGGGGCCUCAGAGUGCAGGUGCCACCGAGGCUGGGGUAGCUCACAGGCUCUGGCCUCCUCAGAGGCCCCGGGAGCUGGUGAGCUGCAGUAUGCAGACCUUCGGGGACCCUCCAGGGCACAGGCAGGGGCUGCAGCAAGACCUGGACAGGAUCCUUCCAGAAGCCUCUGAACUUUGGUCUCUAAUUCCUUCCCCUUGAACCCCUGCACCCUAGGAAGGAGGUUUUGUCAGCAUUUCCCACUUUUAGGUGAAGAGGGUGACCUUGGCGAUCCUACCUGAAACUGGAUCCCAGGUUCACCUGGGGUCACAGAAAUCAGGAUGGGGGCAGAGCCAGGGCCAGCGCCAUGUGAGUUAGGGAGAAGUGGACUCAAGGGCGAGAGGGAGCCCUGGGCCAGCUGCCUGGACCACCGAGGGGCUGCCAGAGUUCAGGCCCUGGGAGGCAGUGUGGGUGCUGUGGGGACCAUUCAGAUUCCGGAGCAGGCGGGCAGCGGCUGGCCGGGAGAGAGCUCGAGGCACCCUGGCAGGGGGAGACAGCUGCUCAGGCCACCCUGUCCCUGAGCCUCGCCUGUGUGCACUCAUGCACAGGCAUGUGGACAUGUGGGUGUGGGCCUGCACUGGGCACAGGCAUGUGGCACAUGUGAGCACGUACAAGGGCCAUGUGGACACACAGGAACAAGGCCAGACACGCAGGACACGUGCACACACACAGGCAUGACUGUGCAUCUGCACACCCUCACACAGGCGCACACAGGUACGCACAGAACACAGUCACCCGUGAGCAGCCUCGUCCGCACACACUGGCACACAGGGUUGAAGUCAGUCACUCUUAAUGCUCUGUGGCAGCUAGUAGCCUGGCUUGGUCACCACCCUGUCCUGGGCCCGGUGUCCUGCUGGAGGUCACCUGAAGGCGUAUGGGCCACAGAGAGGGUCCCUGAGGUGGCUGUACCCACCCCACCCCUGUGCCUAGGUGGCUCCCGGACUCCUGGCUGAGGCAGAUUUGUACCUGGUGGGUGCCCAUCCUGGCCAGGCCGGGCGUCUCUGAGAGUAACCAUCCCAGGACCACCCCAAGGCCUCGCAGGUUCUGGGCUUCCUGUACAUAUAGCCCAGGUCUUCUGACAGGCACCUGGCUGUUCCGGACAGCUCUCUCUGGACAGUCCCGUGUGGCCUGGUCCCUGCAAGGCCGCUGUCCCCAGAGCUGAUGCAUGGUUGCCCCUCAUGGUCCUGGUCCUGCUCUCUGAGCCUCAGUGGUUCCUUCAGGGGGAAGCUGGGGCUCGGGCUGCCCCAGGAGCCCAGUGAGGGGUAAGUGUAGAGGUGUCUGGGGCUCGGCCGUGCACAGCACUGGCUAGGAUCUCCGCCUUUCUCCCGGAUCCUGCCCCCGCCUGCAUCUUCUAGGUGUGGAAAGCCCUCUGGGCAGUACCCAGCACCCCAGGAAGCUGCUCACAGUGAGAUUCCUGUGCCCAGCUGGGGUCCCAGAGUGGGCAGCUGCCCCCCAGAGUUCUCUGGAAAAAAGAUCUGCCCUCCACCCCCGUUAUAUAAUGGGAUUAUGACACAACUUCUGAGGCAUG